This 370-nucleotide ribosomal RNA is filed under the name uncultured bacterium. RNAcentral's name for it is "bacterial SSU rRNA". It matches the Rfam family "Bacterial small subunit ribosomal RNA", at positions 138 to 507 of the family's 1533-position model. The record is from RNAcentral.
AGGGAAUAGCCUUGCGAAAGUUAAGAUUAAUGCCCUAUGUGGNGUUUUGAGGACAUCUGAAGAGCACCAAAGGUUUACCGCUUAACGAUGGGGAUGCGUCUGAUUAGCUUGUUGCGGGGUAACGGCCACCAAGGCGACGAUCAGUAGGGGUUCUGAGAGGAAGGUCCCCCACAUUGGAACUGAGACACGGUCCAAACUCCUACGGGAGGCAGCAGUGAGGAAUAUUGGUCAAUGGGCGAGAGCCUGAACCAGCCAAGUAGCGUGCAGGAUGACGGCCCUAUGGGUUGUAAACUGCUUUUAUAAGGGAAUAAAGUGGGUCUCGUGAGACUUUUUGCAUGUACCUUAUGAAUAAGGACCGGCUAAUUCCGUG